GCAUUGCUAGUUUAGUGGCAAAAUCACCGCCUCCCACGCGGUGGCCCCGGGUUCGAUUCCCGGGCAAUGCA
Non-coding RNA from Entophlyctis luteolus, 71 nucleotides. NCBI's taxonomy places the organism in Eukaryota, Fungi, Chytridiomycota, Chytridiomycetes, Chytridiales, Chytriomycetaceae. The record is from the annotation of a GenBank genome assembly.